GAAUAGUACCCAGCUUGUGAAGUUGUGCACCUGGUGUUUCGCUCGUGAUUUAUUUGUUUUGUCAGAAUUAUUGCCCUUGACAUAGUGAAAAUUUGCAACUUUUAAUUUGUGUCGUGUGUAGCUCAAAAAGUAUUUUACGUAGGGCAAUGAGACUUUACAGGAAGGUUGAUCAGCAUGUGUUGUUGUAUGCAGUAUUUCUAGAGUAAUUGACCUUGACUAAGUAAAAACCAUUCAAAAAUGUUGUGUUAUUUGUUCCUUGAGUGCUUGAGAUAGAAUAAACCAACUUUACAGGAAUACUGAUCAACAUCCAUGUGAAGUUGUGCACCUAGGGUUUUACAUGCAGCUUUGUUAGAGUUAUUGCCCUUGACUUUGUAUAAAUUUACAAUUUUCAACUUCAUGCAUAACUCAAAAGGUUUUUGACCCGUAAGCCUGAAAGUUUACAAGAGUGUUGGUCAGCAUGUGUAUUUAUGCACCUUGGGGUUUGCUUAUUCGUGUCCUUUAAUUAGUAAAUGAUUUUGACUUUACAACUUGUAGCACACAUGUAGCCUAAACAAAUAUUUGACUAGAGUCAUAAGAUUGACAAAACAACAGAGUGUGGGAGCACCCGUGUCCUAUGGCUACAUUUUAAGUUUCGAACUCAAAGUUUUCUCUUCAAUUCAUCUUUACUCUCCUGUAUAUAAAUUUUGGAUUAUCAAUGUCGGUUUAGAUUAUAGCAGAAUUUAUCAGCAAUUUUAUCACUCUGAAUUUAAUUCUAGAUUUAAUGAAAUAUUACUUCAGAAAUUAAAGUUAAAUGAAAUCAAAAUUUGUAUAAGAAUUUCAUAAAUGAUAACAUUUGUCGAUAAAAAAUUCCAAACACCGACGGAAAUGCCAAAAUACGCCUAAAAUCAAACAAACAAAAGAAAAGUAGUAAAAAUCACAAGUAGUCUUAAAUUACAAUUACAAUUGACAAACCGUCGUUAGCGGUAAUAUAAGUAUUUCAUUCAUAUGUAAAAGAACAUGGCAAUGAUAGCAUAAAUAGCCAAGAGUACAAGUUGUGUGCAUAUGAUUGCACGCGCUAGUGUGUGUGUUUUAUUUUCACAUGGCAUGAGAUUAAGAGAUUGUUAACGUGAUUUGUAGUCUCAUUAUUCUGAACAAAAUUUAAUAGUCAAUAAGGAUAUUUUUAAAGCAGUGUAAAUGAAUAAUGAAAUGAAAUAUUAUAAAACAAAACAGAACUUAAAUAUCUGUAAAACAUAACUAGAAAGUGUAAGAACUUAAAAUCUGAUAAUCUUUAGAAGAAAGUUUGUAUUCGGAAAUACUUAAGAUCAAUUAAAAAAGACGCGUAAAACAUUUCAGAAAGACCCUUUCUAUUAUUUUACUUAUUCCAGAAUGGCCAAUAAGAUUCCCAAUUUCAGUUUGUAACAUUCAAAGGCUACUUUUAUCCAAUUUCUCCAUAUAAACCUUUAAAUAAAUCGAUUUUAGACUGACUUCGAGAAUGAAUAUGCUUUGCAAAAUCUGGUCUGCUGUUUAACAUCAACAAGUUUAAGGACCUGGUCAUGUUUUCGCAUCAUUACAGUCGUUUUGCAAGUAGUUUAAAAUUGGUUAUCAUCAAGUUUUUUUUCUUUUGAUUAUACUUUUCGGAAAAUGUUUAUCAAUGGUACAAAAAUAUUUUGCUGAGUUUUAUUGACUGUUAAAAUUUAAAAAAGUAUCUUAAUCGAUUUUAAUUAGCCUAUUUCUUAUGUCUGUUAAAUCUUUAACAAUUUCAAGUUUAUGAUUGCUUUGUCAUUUCAUUAAAUUCAGGAAAUUAAUUUCAUGCCAUUUCAGGAAAUCCGAUCAACUGUAACUGCUGUUUAAUAAAAUGAUCGAAUGUAAAGCAAAUGUUCACAUUUCGCUGGUUGUAUUACAAUUUGUGGUUUGCAUGUCAGUCUAUUUAUAUUUGUACGCAAACAUUUUUAAUAGAAUAUAUAAAUCCAUGGACUGGGAUGAUGAAGAAAACCCUCAGGCGGUUUGGAAAGAUAAGUUUGGGGCUGAUUUUUUACAUCCCCUAGUAAUCGAACAGUUUUGCAAAGAUAUAGAAGAAGGAGUUUUGGCCAAACGAUCAAAAACAGCAACUGCUUCAGCUGCAACUAAUCCACCUAGUAACAACAGCAAAUCUGAGGUUGAUGAAUGUACUCAUAAAAAAUUGACACUGCUAGAAAAGUUUAAGUGUGAUAUAAUUGCAAAUAACUCUGAACCAUUGCUUACACUUUUUACUACAUGGAGU
Long non-coding RNA from Ruditapes philippinarum (Manila clam), 2239 nucleotides. RefSeq lists it as uncharacterized. The record is from RefSeq and is a predicted model, not a curated record. Lineage: Eukaryota; Metazoa; Mollusca; Bivalvia; Venerida; Veneridae. The transcript has 2 exons.